Molecule: long non-coding RNA, 1623 nt
Organism: Durio zibethinus
Lineage: Eukaryota; Viridiplantae; Streptophyta; Magnoliopsida; Malvales; Malvaceae
Source: RefSeq, a predicted model, not a curated record
UCAUUUUGUGUUUGGAUUUUUUCUUCAUGCAUAGUUUUUUUUUGUUUUGGGUUAGUAAUUAGAAGGAAUUUUAUGUUUUGUAGUAAAUCCUCCCACGGAAAUUGCAGACGCAACAGAGUCGAAGGGCUUCUCUGGAAGUUUCAUCUGUUUUUAUUCAGAGAAGCUUCAUCUACUGCUCACAAUUUCUUCCUUUCUUUUCAAAAUCUGUUUUUAUUCUCACAAUGUUUUCAAACCCGAUUAACUCAACCCAGAACUCGACAAACACGUUGUCAUUGGCGUCGAUGCUCACCACUACUGAUCGUCGUUGUUUCCUUCUCUCUUUUCUCUUUUUCUUCUCUUUUUUCCUGCCUUUUCUUUAAAACACUAAAUAGCUUAAGAACGAAAACCCAGAAAUUGGUCGAUCAUUAUACAACUUGGAUCCCCUUGCUAUUGACCCCUGUUUUAUGUCGUCGACACCACCCAAAGCCACCUAAGAUCUGUUCUCUUUUUUCUACAAGCUAAAUGACCCCAAAUACCUAGAAAUUUCAAAAAAAAACCUAAGAAUCGAAGCUCUCAAAGGAGCCAAAUACCUCGAAAUUCCAAACGAAAAUCCAAGAAUCGAAACUUUCCAAGGUUUACCUUUAUUUCUGGGUUCGACGGAUCUUUAACCAUUGUGGAUGAAUGAAUCGUAAAGAAGUACCAGGUCUUUGUCUCCAACGAAGGCACUAUCAAAGCCACCAAUUUCAAAAAGAUAACAACAGGGAAUAAUGAUAAGGGGCUGAAAAUUUAUGAUCCAAGUUACCUGAAUAUAGCUCCAGUUCGAUUGUCAAUUUCUUAUAUAGAUGGAGAUGAAGGGAUUAUCAGAUACAAGAUACAAAGGGUACCUAAUUGAGGAAUUGGCUGAGAGUUCCACUUUGUUGGAAGUGGUCUACCUCGUAAGAAUAGCUGUUACCUAGUGGUCAUGGGGCUUAUGGUCGGGCUAUCUUCCUAUCAUAAACACUUUUGCCAAAGGUCUUAACAUCCAUUUGAGCCACAGGGUUAAAAAAUAGUGAAGCGCUACCACGGAAUGAAGGUUACUGUGGAAGAUGGAAUUACUUUUAUGGUAGAUGUUGUUAUUGUUGCUGUUCCUUUAAGUGUACUAAAAGCCAAAAGCAUCAUGUUCGAACCAAGGCUUCUAGAGUGGAAGGAAGCAGCCACUGAUGACCUUGGAAUAAGGAUUGAUAAUAAAAUAGCGUUGCACUUUGACAAGAUAUUUUGGCCUAAUAUAGAGUUUUUGGGAGUUGUUGCUAGGACAGCUUAUGAUUGCAGCUACUUUCUAAACCUUUACAAGGCCAGGAUCAUUUUGUCCUUGUGUAUAUGCCUGUUAGGCGGCUGGCCCAAGACAUUGAGAAAAUGUUUGAUGAAGCUACUGCAGAUUUUUCUUUUAUACAACUAAGAAAGAUCCUUUCAGAAGCAUCCACCCCUGUAAGUCAAUUUUUCAAAAAUAUAUUUUGUUCCAAAGUUUAGAGGAUUCUCCUACCUAAGAACUAAAAUGUGGGAUUCUCGAGGAUCCAUAAACUUUCUUCAUUUGUGUCGGUUUGUUGCACCAACAAUUAUAGAUGUUUUAUUUAAGUUAAAAAAUUUUUUACAUUAUUAUAAACUCUC